ACCGGAGCGUAGGUUCCGGUUCCUGCGCACCGUCCGCGCCACCUGACGACUGCUCACGCGGUUUGUCGGUC
RNAcentral lists this small RNA (71 nucleotides) under Xanthomonas citri pv. aurantifolii. RNAcentral's name for it is "sX9". Lineage: Bacteria; Pseudomonadati; Pseudomonadota; Gammaproteobacteria; Lysobacterales; Lysobacteraceae. The record is from RNAcentral.